CGAAGGGCUCGAGUAUAUAAUUAAUAAAACCAGAUAGUCAGUCUGUUCUGAAACCUCAACUGAAACAGUUUAUUUUAUUUCACCGCUCUUGAUCGAGGAACCCCUUUAGUGAAGUACCCUUAUUCAUUUUAAGUAUCCUCUUUAAAAGUGGCGACGAGCAGAAGAACAUAACGCGUGUGCAAAAAGUGACUAAAAACCCACUAGUUUAUUGAUUGCGACGGUGCAAAUUGGAAGCGAAUAAUCAUCGGAAACUACCAACCGCGCACAUCGUUGGUGUAGCCAUUGUGUGCUGAACUAUCUCCUAACGCCGGCGAGAAUUAAGAUAUUGAGUUUAUUCUACAACCAAUCAUCCGAAACCCGCAGACGUCGCUGAAUCCGAAUAGCUAAAAGCGUGGAAAGAUAGCGUCAUUUUGGUAAUCGCGGUGGUUUUUUUAAGCAGCGUGCUAAGCAUCGAGCCUCGUUCCGGUAUUUCAGGCAAAAGGGCUCAACGGAGUCGGAUAGCUGGAUUCGAGAUAAUUCUCUCCAUCCGCUGAGGAAUUCAGUCCCUUUGGUUUUCA
Armigeres subalbatus is the source of this 557-nucleotide long non-coding RNA. RefSeq lists it as uncharacterized. The transcript has 3 exons. The record is from RefSeq and is a predicted model, not a curated record. Lineage: Eukaryota; Metazoa; Arthropoda; Insecta; Diptera; Culicidae.